Molecule: long non-coding RNA, 235 nt
Organism: Lingula anatina
Lineage: Eukaryota; Metazoa; Brachiopoda; Lingulata; Lingulida; Lingulidae
Source: RefSeq, a predicted model, not a curated record
UACUUGCAAAAAAUAAACAAGACAAUUGAUUUCGAUAGUUUGGUCAAAAUGGAGUUCAAGUUUUCUGUGAGAAGUGUUCAUCUGAAAAAUUUUGAUCUUGGAAGAAAUGAAGCAGAGUGCUUUGAUUUCAACAUAACUAUUUUGCUAGACAACAGUGCCUACAGUGGACAGAUGCCUGUCACUCUGGAUGCUGAUGCAAAUCCAUUUAUAUGUUAUGAAGAAGAUGAAAUAGAUG